GCCUGGGUGGCUCAGUCGGUUGAGCAUCUGACUUCGGCUCAGGUCAUGAUCUCACAGUUCGUGAGUUCAAGCCCCACAUCGGGCU
RNAcentral lists this transfer RNA (85 nucleotides) under Felis catus (domestic cat). It matches the Rfam family "tRNA". From Rfam's summary of the family: Transfer RNA (tRNA) molecules are approximately 80 nucleotides in length. Their secondary structure includes four short double-helical elements and three loops (D, anti-codon, and T loops). The record is from Rfam by way of RNAcentral. RNAcentral also lists the same sequence under 2 other names. Lineage: Eukaryota; Metazoa; Chordata; Mammalia; Carnivora; Felidae.